Long non-coding RNA from Drosophila nasuta, 1401 nucleotides. RefSeq lists it as uncharacterized. The record is from RefSeq and is a predicted model, not a curated record. Lineage: Eukaryota; Metazoa; Arthropoda; Insecta; Diptera; Drosophilidae. The transcript is spliced from 3 exons.
GAGUCAGGUUUUAAUUGGCAUUGCAUGCAUUGUCAUUGUUCGUAGAGUUAAUACGUCAUGGAAAACUUUGGAUUAUUUGGCACGACAAAUCCGAAAUCGAUAAUUUCUGCCAUAUAAAUAAUUCACAAAAAAUGCCACUUUAAAUCAAUGCUAAACGAACGUGUGCCUCCACAUGAUUAGACUUUUGAUAAGAACUUUCGACUCACAACUCACAUGCAGGCAAAUGAAGUUAUUUAUAGCAAUCUGUUUUUUGCGCUGAUUUACAAGAUCUAUAAAUAACAUACAGGUUAAGUACUACACAAAGUCUAGACUCAUCACAGGAAAUAACCCAAUUAAAUGUGGAAUUUCAACUCAAAAAAAUUCAAUGAUAAGAACACCGAGACGGUGUUGUAAAACGAAUCUGUUUGCCAAUGAACAGUGUUGCAAGACGAUGAAAAGUGCUGCCAACUUCAAAUACGUGGGCUGCCAAUCAACUAGUUUCGACUUCAUUAUCAAUUCAAUUCAAAUUCAAAUACUAAAACACCAGACUCAGCAGCAUGUGAAUCUGAAUCUGGAAUUGGAUUUGGAAUUGCCAACGAAAUCUCGGUGUCUUUAAAUCUACAUCUGCGAAUCGAGUUUCGAGUUAGGAUUUGAGUCAUUUUACUUUUUUUUCGCUGAGCUGAUAUACAUACAAACAUAUAUAUGCGUGUGCGUACACCCGAGACGGACGCCGCACAAUUCUUUUAUUUUGAUUUCCGUCGCUGCUUUGCGUCACCAGCAACGCGUUCAGUCGUCGACAGCAGUCGGGCCCCCCUAAUGCUGGGAUCCAUAUACGUACAUAUGCACAUACAAACGCAACGCGGACUAUGUGAAUGUGUGUGUGUGUGUUCCCGUGGUUUCAACACACGCUAAUAGAUGUCGCUGCUGUAGUUGUUGUUGUUGCUGGCGCUGCCUGUCGCCUGUUGGCAACAUGAAAUGCAACGUCAAAGGUAAAAAUAAAUAAAUAAUAAUGCAAUAAAAAAAUGGCAAAAAGUAAUAAAAUUGCAAGUCGCCUCAUCGCACAAAAAAGAAAAACAAAAUGUACUAAUAAAAGCUGCACAAGCCAUAUAAAUCCAUAAUAAUAAUAAUACUUUGCAGUUCAGCGUCUGCUGAUUGUUGUGAGUUCAAUUUUGAUUGAUGUCUUGUUACAAAACAAAUAAUAUAAAACUUAACGAAUCUGUCACAAUAAAUUAAUGUGCAAUAGACGAAUGCUAAAUACGCUGUCAAGUAAAUUAUUCAAAAUAAUAAUUAGGACUGAAAACUAGAAAAGUGUGAAUACGAAAAUUAAAAUAAAGAAAAAAACCAAUAUAUUAAAUUUAGAUAUUAUUGACAAAAUACAAAAUGAAAUACUUAUUUGCAUAAUGUAUUUAAUGUAAUUUGAAU